This 506-nucleotide ribosomal RNA is filed under the name uncultured bacterium. RNAcentral's name for it is "partial 16S ribosomal RNA". It matches the Rfam family "Bacterial small subunit ribosomal RNA", at positions 29 to 523 of the family's 1533-position model. The record is from RNAcentral.
AGUGAACGCUGGCGGCAGGCCUAACACAUGCAAGUCGAACGGCAGCACAGUGGAGCUUGCUCCAUGGGUGGCGAGUGGCGGACGGGUGAGGAAUACAUCGGAAUCUGCCCAGUCGUGGGGGAUAACAUAGGGAAACUUAUGCUAAUACCACAUACGACCUACGGGUGAAAGCGGGGGAUCGCAAGACCUCGCGCGAUUGGAUGAGCCGAUGUCCGAUUAGCUAGUUGGCGGGGUAAUGGCCCACCAAGGCGACGAUAGGUAGCUGGUCUGAGAGGAUGAUCAGCCACACUGGAACUGAGACACGGUCCAGACUCCUACGGGAGGCAGCAGUGGGGAAUAUUGGACAAUGGGCGCAAGCCUGAUCCAGCCAUGCCGCGUGGGUGAAGAAGGCCUUCGGGUUGUAAAGCCCUUUUGUCCGGGAAGAAACGCCUCGGAUUAAUACUCUGGGGUAAUGACGGUACCGGAAGAAUAAGCACCGGCUAACUUCGUGCCAGCCGCCGCAGUAA